AUUGAACGCUGGCGGAAUGCUUUACACAUGCAAGUCGAACGAUGAACCUUAGCUUGCUAGGGGGAUUAGUGGCGAACGGGUGAGUAACAUAUCGGAACGUACCUAGUAAUGGGGGAUAACUAGUCGAAAGAUUAGCUAAUACCGCAUACGCCCUGAGGGGGAAAGUAGGGGAUCUUCGGACCUUACGUUAUUAGAGCGGCCGAUAUCUGAUUAGCUAGUUGGUGGGGUAAAGGCCUACCAAGGCGACGAUCAGUAGCUGGUCUGAGAGGACGACCAGCGACACUGGAACUGAGACACGGUCCAGACUCCUACGGGAGGCAGCAGUUGGGAAUUUUGGACAAUGGGGGCAACCCUGAUCCAGCCAUUCCGCGUGAGUGAAGAAGGCCUUCGGGUUGUAAAGCUCUUUCGCAAGGGAAGAAAACUUACAUUCUAAUAAAGUGUGAGGCUGACGGUACCUUGAUAAGAAGCACCGGCUAACUACGUGCCAGCCGCCGCAGUAA
This 500-nucleotide ribosomal RNA is filed under the name uncultured bacterium. Its description in RNAcentral is "partial 16S ribosomal RNA". It matches the Rfam family "Bacterial small subunit ribosomal RNA", at positions 30 to 523 of the family's 1533-position model. The record is from RNAcentral.